UAGGUUAUGUGAAAAGUCACCUAUAUGUC
RNAcentral lists this small RNA (29 nucleotides) under Bombyx mori (domestic silkworm). RNAcentral describes it as "ovarian small RNA-22806". The record is from RNAcentral. Lineage: Eukaryota; Metazoa; Arthropoda; Insecta; Lepidoptera; Bombycidae.